UUUUUUUGAGAGGAUUAAUAUUCAACAGCAUAGUGAAUUGCUCAAAGGCAAAACAUUUUUUUUAAGUUCAUUAGACCACAUUCAUUCUGUGUCAGAAACCUAUGCUGUGUCAACUAUUUAAUCACAAUCCAAAUUUAGAGCUGAAUCCAGCUUGAAUGUUGUGUCCAUACUUGCCCCAACCGUUCAGGGUUCAACCUCUGCGGUCGUAUAAAGCUGCGCCCUGCGGAGCAUCUGGUCUAGAUAAUGUUUAAUCUACGAUCUCAAAUGUUCCACAAGGUAUACAUCAUUAAUAGGCUGUUAUGCAGGCUUUGACAAAACCAUGAAAUAAAAUAUUUAUGAAAAUUUUUUGUUUUUCUUCAAUUCAUGCAAAUUUGUACCAGUUAUCUUCCAAAAUAAAUUAAAAUCUUUAGACCAAUCAGGACCAAGCUUUGCCUGAAUCACCC
This 443-nucleotide long non-coding RNA is filed under the name Mytilus galloprovincialis (Mediterranean mussel). Lineage: Eukaryota; Metazoa; Mollusca; Bivalvia; Mytilida; Mytilidae. The record is from RNAcentral.